RNAcentral lists this long non-coding RNA (2535 nucleotides) under Mus musculus (house mouse). RNAcentral describes it as "long non-coding RNA chr18:32448367-32450902". The record is from RNAcentral. Lineage: Eukaryota; Metazoa; Chordata; Mammalia; Rodentia; Muridae.
ACCUUAUUCGGCAAGGGGUAUCUUGGUGUACAGAGAUUGUUCAGUGAUGACUUCAGCUGGCUUGAGCAAUUUGUCUAUAACCUCUGGAAUUUUAGGCACUUUCCCUCUAUUUCCUGUUUGGCUCAGGCCCAGGGCAGUUUCUUCCUGGAAUUUUUUGUGGUAUUUCUAUUAACCAUAGUUCAAACUGGGAACAAGCAGGCUCAAGAUGGAGUCAGCUUGUAAAUCUGAGUUUCUUCCAUUGCCUGUGUUCCUCACUACAAAAGAUACUGGAAAAAAACUUAGGUAUGAAAAAAAUGGCAAAACACACUCAAGAAGACACAAGGAACAAAUAAGUAGUGGCCAAACACUGAAUCAGAAGACAUUGAAUAAAAUAACCACAAAAAGGAACAACAUGACAGGAAUUAGCCCACCUUGUUCAAUCAUAAUUCUCAAUAUUAAUUGUGCCAAUCUUAUAAUAAAGGGAACUUUGUCUAACAAAUCAUAUCAGAAAACAGGAUCCAUCUUUGUGUUGCCUCAAAGAAAGAUACCUCAUAGCUGAGAGUUACCAUGUAAGGUAAAUGGAUAGGAAAAGAUCUUCCAAGCAAACAGAACAAUCAGGUAUAGUUAGUCUAAUAUCCGACAAAGUAGAUCAAACCAAAAUGGAAAAAUAUACCAAAAGGAUAGUCCAAUCCUAAAGGUAUAUAUGUACCAAAAAUAGGAGCAGGCAACUUCACAAAGACACACUAUUAGACGUAAAACCACACUAACAUAAUGAUAGCAGGUGUGGUGUUUUGAAUGCUUUUCUUCUAUAUAGAUUGCUGUGGUCAUGGUGUUUCUUUACACCAAUAGAACACUAAAACAGAAGGUGGUACCAGGAGUGAGGUAUCGCUGUGACAGGUCCGACCAUACUGCUUGUUGGCAGAAUAUGGACUUUGGGACUUUGGAUUAGGAAAGCAGUUGAAUGCUUCAAGUGGGGCUUAACAGGGCAUUCUCAUAGAUUAUGGAAACAGUGGUGCUAAGAGCAAUGUAGAUUAUGAUACCUGGUUUGAAAGAUUUCAGAAAAGGAUAAGAUUAAUAAGUGGCCAAAAGACUAUUGUGAUAUUUGAUGAAGAAUGUGUCUCCUUUUGCCAUUAUCCAAAAUAUCUGAUUCAAGCUAAAUUGAAGAGUUUCUGAUUAAUGUCAUUGGCAGAAGAGAUUUCAAGACAGUCUAGGAUUGACUCUGCCAUGUUGUUAUCAGUGGGCACUCCUAUGUAGCUCUAUAAAAGGAACAAGCUGAGCAAGGAAAAUACAGAAUGUACAGUGUGAGAAGAAAAGGAGCAUCAGAAAAUGUAACAGAGUUAAGUACAGUGUUCAAAGAGAUUAAAGGUUUUUAAGGAAAUAUCUUAGGCUAAAUGGAAUAAAGGGAGUGGUAAACUCAGGCCAAGACCCCACCCAGCUAAACUUCUAACUUAUAAAGGAAUUAAAGUUUUAAGCAAAGGAAACCAUCAACAAUAGAAAUUUGAUGAAUAUAUAAUUGAAGGGGGAGGGGCACGUUCCACACCCAGCAAACAGCAGAACUCGGAAUCCUCAGCUAAGUGGUUCUGGCUUUAGAGUCAAGGAAAGGGUUGAGAACUCUCCCUCCAUGGCUAAAGAAAUUUGCAGAGGCCAGGUGUGUGUGUGUGUGUGUGUGUGUGUGUGUGUGUGUGUAGUGUUAUAUGCAUGGAGGUCCAGAGAGGCCAUUUUGUGAAGCUGCAAAGGUCAAGCCUGAAUUACUUUGGGAACUCCAAAAUGUUGGGGAUGCCAGAGUCAUGAGAUACCUGACAAGGAAAGCUUCUAACAGGAUGUGGAACUAGCCCGAGAGAGAGAAGUGUGCUGCAGUCAACGAAGGUAACAGGCACUGGGGAUCUGAACAAUGUUUGAUGUCAGGCAUGGAGAUUCAGAAUUUAGAGUUGAAAUUUGAAAUGUCCUGCUGGGUUUCAGUCUUGCUUUGGUUCAGUGUCUCCUCAUUAUGCUCCCUUUCUUCCCUUUUGGAAUAGUAAAGUAUAUUCUAUGCCAUUGUGUGUUGUAAGUGUGUGACUGGCUUUUUUAUUUUAGUUUUACUUAGGGUUACAGUGAAAAGAUUGUCUUAGGUGUCAGAAGAGACUUUCAACUUUGGACUUUUAAACAGUGUUGAGAUUGUGACAGACGAUGGGGACUUUUGAAGUUGUACAAAAUACAUUUUGCAUUAUGAUAUGUAUAUAAGCCUAUGUGGCUCAGGGAGUGGAAUGUGGUGGUUUAAAUGAGACUGGCCUUCAAAGGCCUAUGGAUUUGAAUACUUGGUUACCAGGCAGUGGUACCAGCUGAAAAGAUUAGGAGGCAUGGCCUUGCUGGAGGAAGUGUGCCAUUGGGGGUGGGUGGGCUUUGAGGUUUCACUAAGCCCAUUCUAAGCCCAAAGUUUCUCUCUUCCUGUUGCUUGUGAAUCUGGAUGCAGAGCUUGCAGCUAUGUCUCCAACACUGUAUCUACUAUGCUUCUCAUCCUCAUGACAGUGGACUAAACCUCUGAAACUGUAAGUCCCAAUUAAAUGCUUUACUUUAUAA